This 177-nucleotide ribosomal RNA is filed under the name uncultured Mycobacterium sp. Its description in RNAcentral is "partial 16S ribosomal RNA". It matches the Rfam family "Bacterial small subunit ribosomal RNA", at positions 335 to 524 of the family's 1533-position model. Lineage: Bacteria; Bacillati; Actinomycetota; Actinomycetes; Mycobacteriales; Mycobacteriaceae. The record is from RNAcentral.
ACUCCUACGGGAGGCAGCAGUGGGGAAUAUUGCACAAUGGGCGCAAGCCUGAUGCAGCGACGCCGCGUGGGGGAUGACGGCCUUCGGGUUGUAAACCUCUUUCAGUAGGGACGAAGCGCAAGUGACGGUACCUACAGAAGAAGCACCGGCCAACUACGUGCCAGCAGCCGCGGUAAU